UUGAUAAGAAGCCAAAAUAGAGGCAUAUUUCUGUUAAAAAUAUAAUUGAAUUUCUGUUCCUAUCAAG
This 67-nucleotide transfer RNA is filed under the name Maguimithrax spinosissimus. Its description in RNAcentral is "Damithrax spinosissimus tRNA-Asn". Lineage: Eukaryota; Metazoa; Arthropoda; Malacostraca; Decapoda; Mithracidae. The record is from RNAcentral.